This 460-nucleotide ribosomal RNA is filed under the name uncultured bacterium. RNAcentral's name for it is "partial 16S ribosomal RNA". It matches the Rfam family "Bacterial small subunit ribosomal RNA", at positions 338 to 795 of the family's 1533-position model. The record is from RNAcentral.
CCUACGGGAGGCAGCAGUGAGGAAUAUUGGUCAAUGGACGAGAGUCUGAACCAGCCACGUAGCGUGAAGGAUGACUUCCCUCUGUGUUGUAAACUUCUUUUAUAAAGGAAUAAAACGAGGCACGUGUGCCUUUUUCCAUGUACUUUAUGAAUAAGGAUCGGCUAACUCCGUGCCAGCAGCCGCGGUAAUCCGGAGUAUCCGAGCGUUAUCCGGAUUUAUUGGGUUUAAAGGGAGCGUAGAUGGGUUCGUAAGUCAGUUGUGAAAGUUUGCGGCUCAACCGUAAAAUUGCAAUUGAUACUGGCAGUCUUGAGUGCAGGUGAGGUAGGCGGAAUUCGUGGUGUAGCGGUGAAAUGCUUAGAUAUCACGAAGAACCCCGAUGGCGAAGGCAGCUUACUAAACUGUGACUGACAUUGAGGCUCGAAAGUGUGGGGAGCAAACAGGAUUAGAUACCCGUGUAGUC